Molecule: transfer RNA, 66 nt
Filed under: Ictidomys tridecemlineatus (thirteen-lined ground squirrel)
Lineage: Eukaryota; Metazoa; Chordata; Mammalia; Rodentia; Sciuridae
Also listed under: 1 other name
Description: Spermophilus tridecemlineatus (thirteen-lined ground squirrel) tRNA
Rfam family: tRNA
About the family: Transfer RNA (tRNA) molecules are approximately 80 nucleotides in length. Their secondary structure includes four short double-helical elements and three loops (D, anti-codon, and T loops). Further hydrogen bonds mediate the characteristic L-shaped molecular structure. tRNAs have two regions of fundamental functional importance: the anti-codon, which is responsible for specific mRNA codon recognition, and the 3' end, to which the tRNAs corresponding amino acid is attached (by aminoacyl-tRNA synthetases). tRNAs cope with the degeneracy of the genetic code in two manners: having more than one tRNA (with a specific anti-codon) for a particular amino acid; and 'wobble' base-pairing, i.e. permitting non-standard base-pairing at the 3rd anti-codon position.
Source: Rfam by way of RNAcentral
GGGAUUGUGGCUCAGUGGCAGAGCGCUUGCCUCGCAAGUAUGAGGCACUCACUGGGAUCGAUCCUC